Chinchilla lanigera (long-tailed chinchilla) is the source of this 498-nucleotide long non-coding RNA. RefSeq lists it as uncharacterized. The record is from RefSeq and is a predicted model, not a curated record. NCBI's taxonomy places the organism in Eukaryota, Metazoa, Chordata, Mammalia, Rodentia, Chinchillidae. The transcript has 4 exons.
ACUCCACCAAUGCCACCAAGCCCUCCGAUGCCGCCAACGCCAAGCCCGCCGACGCCGCCAAGCCCGGCCCCUGGAGAGCCAGGAGCGGGCUGCCCUGCCUACAGGCUGAGCUCAGCGGGGUGCAAAGAGGCAUCCGACCCAGAUGUCACACUCACCUGCCCCAGCUGUGACACCACCACCAGUGAGCCCGCCAGGACCUGCAGCAAAGAAAGAGCAGUUAAGGGUGCGCCCCUCCCAGAGAGCCAGUCCUCACUGCCAGGGUCCUGAGCCCCAGGGGUGAGCCCCCCUGGGGACCCCACGCUCGAGGUCUCUCUGGCUCCCCACCUCCAGUCAGCUCUCUCCACUCACUGCCCAUGUGUGUGACCUGGGCCUGAGGUAAACUGAGGCAGACGCUCUGCUCAGAUGGUCUGUGACUAUCAAGCCCAGCGCCUGCAAGGAAGGAGAGAGGGGACCAGCUGACUGCGGCCCCGGGACCCUGCCGGCCCAGCCCUCUUCCUU